CCUGCCUCAGCCUCCCGAGUAGCUAGGAUUACAGGCAUGCACACCACGCCCGGCUAAUUUUGUAUUUUUAGUAGAGAUGGGGUUUCACCAUGUUGGCCAGGCUGGUCUCAAACUCCUGACCUCAGGUGAUCCACCCGCCUCGGCCUCCCAAAGUGCUGGGAUUACAGGAGUGAGCCACUGCACCCCGCCUGUUGUGAAUAGUCUUAAGGGGAGGCGUAGUGGGAUGUAAUGGGCUGGAGUCCUAGGCCACCACUUUUUAGCCAUGUGACCUUUGAGAUGAACUAUUAAACUUCAUCCCAGAAUCUUUCUAAAUUCUCCAAAGUUAAAGAUGAGAUUUAAUAGCUCAUCUAUUAAAGAUUUCUGGGAUGGCAUUCUUAAAAUUAAGAUUAGCUUCUGUUAAGGAAUUAGAAAACACCAGAGGUAGGGAAUGGUCCCUGUCACAUAUAGACAGCAUUUGCCCUAAACCAUGCUCUGGUCAAGAGGAGGCUGAGGACUUCUGAGCCAUUUGCCUCUCAUCAGAACGUCCUGGGUGUAGUGUCAGAGAGUGGCUGUAUUGGCUUGUCUGAACAGCUAGUGUGUUGCUUUGGUUUGAGCUGAAAGAUUGUUCUAACAAAGGUGCAUGGUGACUAUGGUCAGCAUAGGCGUUAGGAGAGGAGGGGCCGUCUGUGCACACUGUCCUGGGUGUGCCCAUCCUCAGGAGCUCAGCUGUGUAGUGUGUGGCAGCCUGUCCCCCUGACUCCCGCCGGUGAGGUUCACAGAUGGUCAGAGCUCCCAGGUGCGGCUCUAAAGCUCUGGCUCUGCUGCCGUGGCCCCAGGCAACCUGGCUGGCUCAUGGGCUUCAGCUUCUCACAUGUGGAAGAGCACAGAUCAUCCUUCACCCCAGUAUCCCGGUAGCUGACCUCAGACUUUCUGAGUGUGAGUUGACUUGAGUAGCCCUGAGAUGCUGACGUCCUCUGAGUACAUCAACAACAGGGAGUUUCUGGGCUGCAGGCUGAGAACCCGUGUUUGUCACAAGGCGGCCCCACAGAGUUACCACCACUCUAAGGCCCUGCCAGAGCCAGCAACAGAUUAUUCCAGAAGGCACCUGUCUCCCAAUCACCUUCUCUAUCUGGAACAACACCUCCCUCAGGGUUGGGUAAAGUAUUAAAUAUCUGUGCCUUGCAUACACUCACUCAGUGCUCAACAAAUGCUGGUUCUUUCCCAGUUUCUGUAAUCUGUAUGACCUAUCUUGACCAAGAGAUUGUCAUCAUCCUGAGGCCCGGGGCCCAGGCUGCUGUUGCGCUGGCCUCUCUCCCUCACUCUCCAGUAAGCCCUGUCCCAGGCUGGCCUCUCCCUCCGGGGCUGUCUUAUCCACGCUUGGGCUCCAACCACCUUGACCCUUCUCCACCUGUCAGUCACGCCCCAGGUGUUCCCUGAGUCACGCAACAGCUAUAUAGUAGCUCCGCAGACCAACAGCAGGCCGACAGCGUAGCACCUGAGUUCUAGAUCUACCACUGUUCAUGCGGGACCUGGCAUAAAGCAUUCCCACGUCUCGGCCUCCAUUUCCCCAUCUGUGAAACGAGAGCACUGGUCAGCUCUUCACAUGCAGCGUUUGUGGGAUGAAUCCUUCCAUCUGUCCAUCCAUCCCGCCAACAUCCAUGCACAAACAUUUAGCACCUGCUGCAUGCUGUCAGGGACUAUGGCAGGAAAAGAGUUGAAACAGACACGUCCCAGGCCUCCAGCCCCUCACACCACGGAGAGGAAACAGAUGCCCGCAAAGGAGGAGGCACCCCUCAGGGGGCCAGCGCUGCGACACGGUGGAGGCAGGGAGGCCGUCUCUAAGCAGCCUGCGAGUCCCCGCGCUGCACCGUGGCUUUGAGGAGUGGCGGGGGCCGAGGGGCCGGUCUCUCUUCCGGGGGAGAUUCCUCCCCUCACCCCGGCAUUACUCAGCGCCCUGAACUGUCUGCCUCCCUCCAGCCGGCCCUCCUCGUCUUCCUGGAGCGCAGCACAAAGGUCCUGUUGUGGCCGCGGCCCGGGCCGCGGGCGAGCCUCUCUGGAUGGUGGUGACUCAGUCUCUUGCCAUUUCCUUUGUGCGGCUCCGGGGCUCCUCGCUGGGAGCGGAGUGUGUCUGCAGGGCUGGGGGCGGGAGCCGGGACCCACAGCCCGACAGCGAGCCUUUCAUGUGGGCAGGGGGCUUCCCGCACGCAAUGCGAACCUACGCCUGGAGCUUCCCAAAGACAGCGUCCGGCGCAGGAACGCGAGAUGCUGGCCGCCUCGCCUCUGGCCCCCGCGAGCAUCAAAGCGCGUGCCGUCGAGGGGGCACGUGUCCCCCAUCGGGCGCGCCUCUGCUCCUAGUCCCCUGAAUGAACACAUCCUUAUGAAAAGUGGAAAUUAGCCGCCGAAGGGAAGGGCCCGGAGAGCUUGGGAAGCGACCUAGGCUGCCAGCCUCCCGGCGGGUCUUUGGUCCCAGCUCUGAUGACCUGUCAGCAGCCGCAGGACCUGCGCUUAAAGGCGCCUCUCCAGGCCUGGCUCAGGGUGGGGCUCCUCGUGCUCAGCACCCUGGUCAAGGUUAGGGCUGGGUGUGCGCUGGAGGCUUGGAGUGCCAGGGCACCCAGUGAAGAGCGAAUGAAUGAACGAGUGAACACCGGACUGGGGGCCUGCAGACGGUUCUUCGCAGGUUAAUUAGAAGGCCUCUAGCAAGCUGCAGCGGAGGCAUUUCAGGCAUCCUUCAGAGAGGACCCUCGGCCUGGCUCCUAAGGGCCCCUGGUCUGGCUCUCACCCCCUGCUCUGGUGGCAUUUCUGCUCACUCAGCCUUUACCCUUUACACGCCAGCCGCUCUGAACAGUUUAUUCUUCUGGGAGCACAUCAUGUUCUUGCUCACAUCCAGGUUUUGCGUAAGCUGUUCCUGCUGCAAGGAAAACCCUUCCUGUGUCCUCCUCAGGUGAGAGCUCCCGCAGGCAGCUUCUCCCCGGAGUCUGGCGUAAGUGUUCCUCCUCUGCACGCCUCUGAGGACAUUUGCAAAGGUCUGUCAUAGGGCUUACCACCCCGUUACCUGUUUGUUUCCACCAGGGAGUGCGCUGAAGCUGAGAGGGAAUGAGUGAGUGAAUGAAGGGCUUGAGAAAGGAAAUUUCUUCACCCUCCAGUGCCCUCUGGGUGGGUAUUGAGACAAGCUCUACAGGAAGCCUAAGAAAACUAACUGCUCUAAUUCUGUCCUUCCUUUUGCAAUGUUUAGGCAACUCCUGUGCAUCUGUAGGUACCAUUGUGAGGUUACUGCCCUGGACUGGGGAGAGAUCCACACACGCAAGAGUGCAUCUGGCAUCAGUAUCUCUCUUCCUGUCAACCCUGGCAUUGCCUUUGUUGGCUACUGAGAGAAGACCAGAAAUAUCCAUCUAGUCAGACUUGCCUGCUCCUGGGAAGAAAACAAAAAUGCAAAGAAAAGGUUCUCAGGGAGAUUGAGCCAACCUGGGAGUGGCCCUCAGCUCCUCCAGUCCCCAGAGACCCAUGCUCUGCAGCAUCCAAGGGGCUCCUGUGAAACUGUUGGGAGGCCAAUGACACUCUGUCCCACGUUGUGGAUCUAUUUUGUGGUCUCUGUAUCCUUCACUGCUUUUUGUGGACAUUAUUGUAUUAGAUUCCUUUGGAAAUGAUGAUCCAGCUAAUGGCCAGUUAGUAGGAAACAUCACGACCCUCCCCCCAAAUUCCAGCCUCUUGCUGAAAGGGUGGGGCCUGGGAAAUCAUAUGGUAUUGCUCCUGGUCACCACAGACCAGUGGUGGCUUUGGGCCAAAUUCUGGCCCAGCCAAUCCCCCCCACCUUUUUUUUUUUUUGAGAGAGAGAAUUUGAGGUAAGAGACACAGAGACUCAGGUUAGGAGGAUGCUUGAACUGAAAGGUCCUGAGACAGCAGGACAGGAGCUAGUACCAUGCAGAACACAGCAGGAGCCACAGGCAAGCCUGAACUGUGGGAGAGAGAAAACGAAGGGCCUUCCAGAGAGGUCCAGUCUGCCAAGAGGAGAAGAGAGUUGACACGCAGAAAGAGUUAGGGGUGACAAGAACCCCCGUAGCCCCUUGAAGGACACAGAGAGGAGAUCUUUUUUGUUCUUUUGUGAUUCAUCCUUUCUCACUUCCUGUCCUUGGAGGUCAACAACAGACCCCUGUAUCCUUUUAAUAAUCCCUCUUUUCAUUUGAAAUUGUUCCAGAGGGUACCUGAUCCUUGUUGCCAGCAUGCCCUGAAUAAGAAAAAUGCUCAAACCAAACACUGAGUCUACUGAGUCUAUGUGAAUUAAUUCUUGGAAUUCCUUGGCUCAAUUCAAUAAACAUUUCAUGCACAAUUUUUGUGUGCCAGGUGCUAGAGGCAUUCUGAGAAAAACUGAGACCCAGGAGCUGUCCUCAGAGAGUCCAGUAAGAUGUGGUCUGAUAAGACAUGUUUCCAUAUACCCAGAAUACAAGGUAGUUUGCUAGGAGCACUGCAAGAGAAACGCAGAUGGAAGGCUGGAGUGUGUACUGCCACUGUGGAAGCAGGAGGGGCUUGAGGGAAGAGGGCCUUCAAGAAUGGGUGGAAUCUAAUAUUGGAAAGGGGAGGAAGAGUGGAAAGUAUAAGAAUCAGAAGUCUGGUUGCAGGAUGGGGCAUGAUAUGGGUGGGACACUGUAAACUGCACAGCGUGGAAGGAAUAUGGAGUUUAGAGGAAUAAUGUUAGAUGAGUCUGUAAGACGGGCUUGACUGGGAUUAUGAAGGGCCUUAAAGGUCAAGCCAAAUUUGUUAUCAUAGAAUCAUAAGAAGGAGAAGAGCCUUAGCUGUUGUCUAGUCUAACUUAGGUAAUUUGGUUCCAGUUCCUCUUAAGGUGGCCACCAUGACAGACUGAAUCUCAAGUACUCAUCUGAGAUACAGUCAUUUCAAUGGUAGUGACUCAGAAUUUACUUUUCUUUUUUUUUACCCCAGCAAAAUAUUUAUUUUAGAAAAUAGGAUUAUAUUAUUUGUUGCUCUCCAACUUGCUUUUUUUGGACAUCUUGGACAUCUUUCUCUACCAGUACAUAUAGUUCCAUUUCCUUCUUUUUAUUUUAUUUACUUUAUUAUUUUUGUAGAGAUGAGGUCUUGCCAUGUUGCCUAGGCUGGUCUGGAACUCCUGGGCUCAAGAGAUCCACUCACCUUGGCCUCCCAAAGUGCUAGGAUUACAGGCGUGAGCCACUGCAGAUAUUUUUAUUUUUUAUUUUCAUUUAUUUCAAUAGUUUUUGGGGAGCACGUGGUUAUUUGAUUACAUGGAUAAGUUCUUUAGUGGUGAUUACCGAGAUUUUGGUGCACCCAUCACCCAAGCAGUGUACACUGUACCCAAUGAGUAGUCUUUUAUCCCUCGUCCUCCUUCCCCGCUCCCCUCACGUCCCCAAAGUACAUUGUAUCUUAUGCCUUUGCAUCCUCAUGAGAUUACUUUUCUAUCUUUAACAACUUAAGAGUUCUUUCCAGAAGAGUCCUCUUACUACGAGGAAGAGUGUUAGAGCACAGGGAACUGGGCCUAGAGAGUCUGCAGCAAAUUGUCUCAAAUAGCAGCUUAAAAAGGUAAGGAACAGAAAAGAAACACUCUCUAUCUAUGUGCUGGCCUCAGGCACAGUGCUUCUAGAUGGUAGAACAUCUGUGAAGUAGAAAUUACAAUCACUUUUCAGGUGAGAAAACAGGAGCUGUAGGGAGGAGUCGGACAGGUCCCCAGGCCCAGCAACUAUACCAGGUGAGGCAGGAAUGUGGCCUCGUGUUGACCAGAUUCCACAGCCACGGGCUUCCAUCCCUCUUCUCUGCUUGCUUUAAGACUAACCACCCUGGCUUCAAGUAAGUAUCACUCACAAAGGAAUUUCAAAAAGACAUGCACAUAAAUUAAUGGCUGAUGGCUGUAGGUGGUCGUAUGGGAGGAACCGAUUAUAACAUUGUAUGAACUUAGCAAAGCUCUAAACCAUAGCACAGACAUUUGGCAAAAUGGUUACUCUUUUUCAAUCAUCCAAGGACUCAGUUUAUAAUAAGCCUUGAGCGAGUCCCUAAAUUCCAAAGCCCUUAGCAUCUUCCAGGACCCUCUUGAGACCACACAGUGCUUCCAGCUUCCGGAAACAGCAGAUGCUAUUGCUUCCAUGAGCAAUGUCAGCAUUUAAUACACAAGGGGGAACAGAGAAAGAAACCUAUAUGGAUGGGGAGCAGGGAGGAGGGGCAGCACUGGAUCCUCUCCUGGGCCCUGUCCAGCUCGACAUUCCUGAACAGAGCGUGCUGUUCCCUCUCCUGAUGUUGGCAGCUUAGAAUGCAGGAGCCUUAGAUGGGUGGCCUGGAAGGGAGGCCAGCAGGGAGAGGUGACCUGGAAGUGAGGAAGCUCAGGAGGGACUGAUGGUAAUUGGAGGGGCAGGCAGAGAGAGGCAGAUGAAGAAACAGCCGAGGCCUGUGUGAAGGCUGGACCCAACCUGCGUCCAAGCAGAAAGUCCAGAGAACUUAGCACAGCUUCCAAAGCUUCAGAGUACAUCAGAACUACUUGGGAAGUGCGUCAAACUCUGGUUCCUAGGGAAAUCCUCAGAGAUCCUGCAUCUGCGAUGAGGCCCAGAAGUGGUUUUUGUGACCAGUUCCAAGGCGACUUCAUACAGGCAGUCCUUGGGGACACUGGUGACAGGAUUUCCCUCUCUGGACCUUGGUGUCCUGCUCUGUAAAUAAAGGGGUUUGUCAAAGACGGUUUCUGCUUUCUCUGUCAGCUCCAACAUACAGCUUCUCAAAAGCUUCCAAAAAUCCCCUUACCCAAGCUUGCAGCCCUCAUCACCUGUCUCAAG
This 6758-nucleotide long non-coding RNA is filed under the name Homo sapiens (human). Its description in RNAcentral is "HSALNT0066559". The record is from RNAcentral. Lineage: Eukaryota; Metazoa; Chordata; Mammalia; Primates; Hominidae.